AACCUGUCUCUUAUUUGCUGGUCCACCAUCUUGAAGAAAACCAUCGGUUGGGGACUGAUGUCUCUAAAUAUUCGGCCAGUACGCUCUCUCCAUAGAGAAUAAACAAUAACCUGCACAAGUAGCUUCAUAACAAUUUUCACCUGCGAUGAUGAAUAAACACCCUGGCAACUCAAACACAUCGAGACUGCAGCAGAAAGAUCUGUUGGAGGAGAGGUAAUAAAUCUGUCACAGAACUUAGACCAAAUAGCACCAGUAUAAGAACACUCAAA
RNAcentral lists this long non-coding RNA (269 nucleotides) under Brassica napus (rape). RNAcentral's name for it is "long non-coding RNA (BNAP_LNC020288)". The record is from RNAcentral. Lineage: Eukaryota; Viridiplantae; Streptophyta; Magnoliopsida; Brassicales; Brassicaceae.